AACAGCAGGGUACGUACUACAAUUGAUUCCAGCGCAUCAUGACAUUUACAAAAGUGCUUUUUGCAAGAGGGCUGCUAACCUAGGUGUGGAAAGAAAGCAUCCAGAAUUUAAGUGGUAGGUGGCUUGCCUGUAUUCCCUUCCAGCUUUUCCAGAUGAUAAUUCCCUGCUUCCACCUGGCUCUAGGAGUCAUUAGUGGGUGACAGCUCUCUGAAGCAUCCAUAGAGCUCCUCUGCCCUUCCUGUUUGAACUGCAUGUUUCAGAUGUGUUAUCAAGACAUUGCCAUUGUGCAGAUACAGAUUAGUUCUUGAGACUGAUUUUUCUGCUUCACCAGUUCUUUUGUAGCUGCCAGAACUAAUUGCUUACAUUACAUUACCAGUCUGGGCCUCUAUCACUCCCUGGAUGAUGCCAUCCGUUG
Molecule: long non-coding RNA, 415 nt
Filed under: Parus major (Great Tit)
Lineage: Eukaryota; Metazoa; Chordata; Aves; Passeriformes; Paridae
Description: lncRNA (ENSPMJG00000000416.1)
Source: RNAcentral